This is a long non-coding RNA of Esox lucius (northern pike), 603 nucleotides long. The record is from Ensembl. Lineage: Eukaryota; Metazoa; Chordata; Actinopteri; Esociformes; Esocidae.
CUUGCUAAAUACAAUUUACAUAGGCUUACACUACUAAUGCUGUGCUUUUUGCAGACUUCAUGUUAUGCAUCAUCUUCCAUAACCCGGGAUCCUGCAAACCUGUUGCAACACCUGACUCACAGAAAAGCUUUUCAGAAUUAUUGAGAGAGGCUGCCAACCGCCUCAACUGGACGGGACGCGGUAUGGGCUGUAAUUCAGGACAUCCUGGCUUGCACAUCCAUUUGAUUCAGUUUCUUCUUAGGUCCCGUUCCCACAUGUGCCAAUGCAAAGUGUUCUAUAAAAUGAAUUUGAGGAACAGAUAACACCAGUGGCUGAGUGGGACAAUUUAUAAAAACCCCAACAUAUGGUCUGUAUUCCAGUAAUACAUCCUCCUGCUCUGAUUUGUAUUGAACACUGAUACAACCUUACAGCAUGAAUAUUUACUGAUGACAAAGGAGAACCACUAAUAAAACACACAGAAACUACAGCAAUCAGUGUUCAAAUGAGUGCUGACAAUCUUUCAAGCAGUAGAUGAACACAACUUUACUAGGAAUGGAUUGGGUGGACAGCCUGGCAGAAUUUCUUAUGAAACAGAAGACCAGUAAAAAAAUGUAUAUAUGAGAA